AUGCAGUCGAGCGAUCGAUGGGAGCUUGCUCCCUGAGAUUAGCGGCGGACGGGUGAGUAACACGUGGGCAACCUGCCUAUAAGACUGGGAUAACUUCGGGAAACCGGAGCUAAUACCGGAUACGUUCUUUUCUCGCAUGAGAGAAGAUGGAAAGACGGUUUACGCUGUCACUUAUAGAUGGGCCCGCGGCGCAUUAGCUAGUUGGUGAGGUAAUGGCUCACCAAGGCGACGAUGCGUAGCCGACCUGAGAGGGUGAUCGGCCACACUGGGACUGAGACACGGCCCAGACUCCUACGGGAGGCAGCAGUAGGGAAUCUUCCGCAAUGGACGAAAGUCUGACGGAGCAACGCCGCGUGAACGAAGAAGGCCUUCGGGUCGUAAAGUUCUGUUGUUAGGGAAGAACAAGUACCAGAGUAACUGCUGGUACCUUGACGGUACCUAACCAGAAAGCCACGGCUAACUACGUGCCAGCAGCCGCGGUAAUACGUAGGUGGCAAGCGUUGUCCGGAAUUAUUGGGCGUAAAGCGCGCGCAGGUGGUUCCUUAAGUCUGAUGUGAAAGCCCACGGCUCAACCGUGGAGGGUCAUUGGAAACUGGGGAACUUGAGUGCAGAAGAGGAAAGUGGAAUUCCAAGUGUAGCGGUGAAAUGCGUAGAGAUUUGGAGGAACACCAGUGGCGAAGGCGACUUUCUGGUCUGUAACUGACACUGNNNNNCGAAAGCGUGGGGAGCAAAC
This 733-nucleotide ribosomal RNA is filed under the name Bacillus sp. (in: firmicutes). RNAcentral's name for it is "bacterial SSU rRNA". It matches the Rfam family "Bacterial small subunit ribosomal RNA", at positions 55 to 773 of the family's 1533-position model. The record is from RNAcentral. Lineage: Bacteria; Bacillati; Bacillota; Bacilli; Caryophanales; Bacillaceae.